CCUACGGGGCGCAGCAGUGGGGGAUAUUGCACAAUGGGGGAAACCCUGAUGCAGCGACGCCGCGUGAGCGAUGAAGUAUUUCGGUAUGUAAAGCUCUAUCAGCAGGGAAGAAAAUGACGGUACCUGACUAAGAAGCCCCGGCUAACUACGUGCCAGCAGCCGCGGUAAUACGUAGGGGGCAAGCGUUAUCCGGAUUUACUGGGUGUAAAGGGAGCGUAGAUGGCAGCGCAAGUCCGAAGUGAAAGCCCGGGGCCCAACCCCGGGACUGCUUUGGAAACUGUGAAGCUGGAGUGCGGGAGGGGCAG
RNAcentral lists this ribosomal RNA (305 nucleotides) under uncultured bacterium. RNAcentral's name for it is "bacterial SSU rRNA". It matches the Rfam family "Bacterial small subunit ribosomal RNA", at positions 338 to 660 of the family's 1533-position model. The record is from RNAcentral.